RNAcentral lists this ribosomal RNA (462 nucleotides) under uncultured Tepidimonas sp. Its description in RNAcentral is "bacterial SSU rRNA". It matches the Rfam family "Bacterial small subunit ribosomal RNA", at positions 917 to 1381 of the family's 1533-position model. Lineage: Bacteria; Pseudomonadati; Pseudomonadota; Betaproteobacteria; Burkholderiales. The record is from RNAcentral.
GACGGGACCGCACAAGCGGUGGAUGAUGUGGUUUAAUUCGAUGCAACGCGAAAACCUUACCUACCUUGACAUGCCAGGAAUCCUGCAGAGAUGUGGGAGUGCUCGCAAGAGAGCCUGGACACAGGUGCUGCAUGGCUGUCGUCAGCUCGUGUCGUGAGAUGUUGGGUUAAGUCCCGCAACGAGCGCAACCCUUGCCAUUAGUUGCUACGAAAGGGCACUCUAAUGGGACUGCCGGUGACAAACCGGAGGAAGGUGGGGAUGACGUCAAGUCCUCAUGACCCUUAUGGGUAGGGCUACACACGUCAUACAAUGGCCGGUACAGAGGGCUGCCAACCCGCGAGGGGGAGCCAAUCCCGUAAAACCGGUCGUAGUCCGGAUUGCAGUCUGCAACUCGACUGCAUGAAGUCGGAAUCGCUAGUAAUCGCGGAUCAGCAUGUCGCGGUGAAUACGUUCCCGGGUCUU